UGAACCCCGGUAUCUAGAGUCUGCAAAAA
Molecule: non-coding RNA, 29 nt
Filed under: Mus musculus (house mouse)
Lineage: Eukaryota; Metazoa; Chordata; Mammalia; Rodentia; Muridae
Source: RNAcentral